This is a long non-coding RNA of Physella acuta, 2520 nucleotides long. RefSeq lists it as uncharacterized. The record is from RefSeq and is a predicted model, not a curated record. NCBI's taxonomy places the organism in Eukaryota, Metazoa, Mollusca, Gastropoda, Physidae.
AGUAGACUAUUAAUAAGAUGAAGCGUUUAGUCAUUUUAAACAGUGCAGUAGACUAUUAAUAAGAUGGAGCGUUUAGUCGUUCACUAAAUAAAAUCUGCCGACGGCCAACAGUGCUAUUUGCGCCCAGGGCUAUCCCAGUAGCGCUAUAGCGCAUACUUUUGUUUUAAAGAGUGUGAUAGUAUAUGGAUAAGUAGUAUUAUAUUCGUUCACUAAAUAUAAUCAGGCAUGUCCGACCAAGCCCCGACAUGGUGCCAUUUGCCCUGGGCUAUCUUGUGACUUUCUUUUAACACCGCGACAACGCGUGUGUGUUUAUAUAUGUAUAUAAACAUAUAUAAAUAUGCCCUGAUAACUGCCAUCUUGUUUGUGUCAACAGAAUAUCCAUUGUUUGUUGAAUGUCAGUCCUAGCGCUGUAGAGAGACUUCAUCACUACAAGAUUUAUCCUAUCACAAUUUUUGUGCAUCAUAAAAGUGCUAAGCAAAUAAGAGAGAUUCGUGACCCUCAGUUUUUGAAGGAUCGAGCUAGCAAUAAAUUAGCCAAGGAACAGUUUGAACAAUUUCAAAAAAUUGAGCAGGAUUUUCAUCAUCUGUUUACAGCUACCAUCCAAGGUGGGAAUCUGGCAGAGAUGUGCAUGCAGAUCAAGACAGUAAUAGCAGCAGAACAGAAGAAAGCCAUAUGGGUGACUACCAACAUAUUGUGAGGGCAGCCACCACUCUUCUGUUUCUACCUUAACAAAUUAUCCUUGGGUCAAACAUUUGCAGGAAAACAUUCAUGGAACCACUAGUCAGAAAUUAUUACAUGCCAACAGUGAUUCAUUGAUACAGGCCUGCUACAGGCCAACAUUUGGCUGCUACAGGCCAACAUUUGGCUGCUACAGGCCAACAUUUGGCUGCUACAGGCCAACAUUUGGCUGCUACAGGCCAACAUUUGGCUGCUACAGGCCAACAUUUGGCUGCUACAGGCCAACAUUUGGCUGCUACAGGCCAACAUUUGGCUGCUACAGGCCAACAUUUGGCUGCUACAGGCCAACAUUUGGCUGCUACAGGCCAACAUUUGGCUGCUACAGGCCAACAUUUGGCUGCUACAGGCCAACAUUUGGCUGCUACAGGCCAACAUUGAUGGAACUUUUUUUUUAUUCUAUUCCAAAACAAAGAAACCAUCAUUGUCAUUUGCUUUUUAAUUUGAUGUGACAUAAAUUGUCAAUAGAUUGUAGGUGAUGUGUGAAUGUUUUUAAAAAUGUGACAUGUGUUUGCAUAUAGCCUGAGCCAGUUGUCUUUCUGUGUUGACUUUCUUGUCUUUCUAAAGGCUCUACCCUGCACAGCUCUCUGUUACAUGCUACCAGCAGCUGUAUUAAGUUUGUUUUGUGAUUUCAUUCUUGCGGCCAGUCCCAUCAACUUAUUGUGCUCUUGAGACAUUGAAUGAAUAGAUUUGUUCAGAUGUUGAAUGAAUAGAUUUGUUCAGAUGUUGAAUGAAUAGAUUUGUUCAGAUGUUGAAUGAAUAGAUUUGUUCAGAUGUUGAAUGAAUAGAUUUGUUCAGAUGUUGAAUGAAUAGAUUUGUUCAGAUGUUGAAUGAAUAGAUUUGUUCAGAUGUUGAAUGAAUAGAUUUGUUCAGAUGUUGAAUGAAUAGAUUUGUUCAGAUGUUGAAUGAAUAGAUUUGUUCAGAUGCUAAAAAGCAUUUUCUGUUUGAUGAUACCAAAAUUAUGCUGUUAGUUUCCCAAAUAUUGAUUUUCUCUACAACUCUUUUUUUUGGAAGGGGGUGGGGGUUGUUGAUAUGAUUCUGGUCACAAAAUGUAAAUGCUUAAACAAAAGGGCUGCUGAUUUUUAAAAACUUCUAACUGCUUAUGUAAUAAAGAAGUGAUAGUAGAAGUACUUAAGUAGGAUGUCCCUACCCCAUCUAUGAUACUAUUUCCCCAUCCUAUCUAAGGUAGGAUCAUCCCCCACACCCUAAUCUAUUAUGACAUGUCUGUUCUCCACCCUGCCUCAUCAAUAGAAAGUCGAGUAGCUUGUCCCUACCCCAGUCUGUGGUAGAGUGUCGUUGUCAUCUACCCCCACUCACCACAUCUAUGGUAGGAUAUUACCAACUCAAAGAAAAGAUGUGAGAAAACAUAUUAGAUUGUUGUUUUUUUUUGUCUCAUGAUAUUUAUUAGAAGAAAACUUCUUGACAGUAUUGUAAAUAAGAUAUUUAUGUAUUUGUUCUAUUAAUGAAAAAGGUUUUAAAAUUGUAUAAAUUCUUUUUUCUUUUUCAUUUGAUGUAAAAAAAAAACAUUUUCUAAUAGGUCAAAUAUAUUUUAACAAUAGCACCUGUCUAGUAGGUCAAACACAUUCUAACAAUAGCCCCUGUCUAGUAGGUCAAACACAUUCUAACAAUAGCCCCUGUCUAGUAGGUCAAACACAUUCUAACAUUAGCCCCUGUCUAGUAGGUCAAACACAUUCUAACAAUAGUACCUGUCUAGUAGGUCAAACACAUUCUAACAAUAGCCCCUGUCUAGUAGGUCAAACACAUUCUAACAAUAGCCCCUGUCUA